UAGGUUACAUUGUACUAGCUUUGUGGCUUC
RNAcentral lists this non-coding RNA (30 nucleotides) under Rattus norvegicus (Norway rat). The record is from RNAcentral. Lineage: Eukaryota; Metazoa; Chordata; Mammalia; Rodentia; Muridae.